UGGGGGUAUAGCUCAGUUGGGAGAGCGCCUGCCUUGCAAGCAGGAGGUCACGAGUUCGAAUCUCGUUAUCUCCAU
This 75-nucleotide transfer RNA is filed under the name Faecalimonas nexilis. RNAcentral's name for it is "Tyzzerella nexilis tRNA-Ala(tgc)". It matches the Rfam family "tRNA". From Rfam's summary of the family: Transfer RNA (tRNA) molecules are approximately 80 nucleotides in length. RNAcentral also lists the same sequence under 5 other names. Lineage: Bacteria; Bacillati; Bacillota; Clostridia; Lachnospirales; Lachnospiraceae. The record is from RNAcentral.